CCCUGCCGGGGUCCCUGCCGGGGUCCCUGCCGGGCUCCGGGCGCUUCCUGCACUCCAGAAAGCCCUGUUCUAAGAGCUCUUCAUGCAAUAUCAGCUGACACUCACAGGAGCCUACAGAGAUAGAGAUCAUCGCCAUCCCUAGCUUGAGGCUGAAGAGACUGGAACACAGACAGGUCCAGUAACUUUCCCAAGGCCACACAGCUGGGAAACAGUAGCACUGGGAUUUGCACCUGUGCGGCCUGGAGAUGGGAGCCUGUGUUCCUCUUCCUACGCUUAGACAAGUGUGACGCUUCUGACCCCUAAUUCAGGGCUCUUUCCAAGAGAACGCCUGGUGGAGCCCCAUCCAGUUAGCUUUUAGUUGGAAAAAGCUACACGGACCACUUUUGCUGACUUAGUUUCCCUUCUUCUACACUUUGUUUGUUUUUUUGGUACCAGGGAUCGAACUUGUCGGAACCACUGAGCUAAAUCCCUGGCUCUUCUUCUAUACUUUGUGCCAGGCACUGCUGCUCAACCAGAUCAACCCGAAGUUUGGCAAACCGGCUUCUCUCCGGAGUUCAGAACACCUUUGGUGGCCUCUGCUGCCACCUGCUGGCCACAGCGGGGUAGACUGGUUUGUGGGUGUUUUCAGGCGUUCCUCUUUUUCUGUCUGCAUGAUGUCAUCCUCCCCUGUGGCCGUGGGACCAUCUACAUGCUGUUGACUCCCAAAUCUUUCCGUCUUCUGAGAUCCUGGUCUGUGUAUCUGGAUGCAAACGUCUCUGACCCUCCAGUCCCCUGACACCCCUCAAGUGACAAGGGUUCCUAAAAGGCAGAGCUGGAACCAGGCCCCAGGUCUCCCAGCUGCUGACUCAACCUUCACAUUUCCAACAGUGCAGCACCAGACACGGGCACAGUGACUGCCAGAGAAGGAAGAGAUAAAGAUCAGUGCUGGCUGGUGGCAGAGGCAGGAUUUGAACUCCAAUCAGAGUAGCGACCAAGCCAGGUUCUUUCUCUAGCACACUGUGACACUGCUGGAGGCAUGUCGGCUUCUAAAACACACAGCUAAGGAGUAUGGGCCAACAGAAGGACCCUGGCCAGGCACAGUGGCUGGACACAGGCUUGUGGCGAAAGUGUCGCUGGAAGGGGCGGGCGCUGACUUCCGUGCCAGGUUGCGGAAACUGAAUGGGUCCCAUGGACGAGAAAAGAUGAGGGCAGAGGGCGGGAAGAAGGAAUGGAACAAGGAAAA
Molecule: long non-coding RNA, 1222 nt
Organism: Heterocephalus glaber (naked mole-rat)
Lineage: Eukaryota; Metazoa; Chordata; Mammalia; Rodentia; Bathyergidae
Source: RefSeq, a predicted model, not a curated record